Molecule: signal recognition particle RNA, 90 nt
Filed under: pig gut metagenome
Description: Bacterial small signal recognition particle RNA
Rfam family: Bacterial small signal recognition particle RNA
About the family: The signal recognition particle (SRP) is a universally conserved ribonucleoprotein involved in the co-translational targeting of proteins to membranes. Archaeal SRP consists of a 7S RNA and homologues of the eukaryotic SRP19 and SRP54 proteins.
Source: RNAcentral
GGUCCCGCGCAAGUCAGUCCCAUGAACCGCGUCAGGUCUGGAAGGAAGCAGCGCUAAGUGGAUUGCUGGCUGUGCCGUGGGGGUGCCUGG